GGUUAAUUAGCUCAAUUGUAUAGAGCAAUAGUUUCCUAAACUAUAGGUUAGGGGUUAGAAUCCCCUAUUAACCAC
Molecule: transfer RNA, 75 nt
Filed under: uncultured phage cr116_1
Lineage: Duplodnaviria; Heunggongvirae; Uroviricota; Caudoviricetes; Crassvirales; Steigviridae
Description: crAssphage cr116_1 tRNA-Arg
Rfam family: tRNA
About the family: Transfer RNA (tRNA) molecules are approximately 80 nucleotides in length. Their secondary structure includes four short double-helical elements and three loops (D, anti-codon, and T loops). Further hydrogen bonds mediate the characteristic L-shaped molecular structure. tRNAs have two regions of fundamental functional importance: the anti-codon, which is responsible for specific mRNA codon recognition, and the 3' end, to which the tRNAs corresponding amino acid is attached (by aminoacyl-tRNA synthetases). tRNAs cope with the degeneracy of the genetic code in two manners: having more than one tRNA (with a specific anti-codon) for a particular amino acid; and 'wobble' base-pairing, i.e. permitting non-standard base-pairing at the 3rd anti-codon position.
Source: RNAcentral